Molecule: long non-coding RNA, 407 nt
Filed under: Elaeis guineensis (African oil palm)
Lineage: Eukaryota; Viridiplantae; Streptophyta; Magnoliopsida; Arecales; Arecaceae
Description: long non-coding RNA (EGUI_LNC080824)
Source: RNAcentral
UGAUUUCUAGUGGGUGGUGCGGUCUCACCAAUUGGCUCACCACCUCACCUAACAGUUAUUGGUGAUGGGUCAACCGAUGAGUGGACAAAUCUUGUCCAAUGAUUCUCUAAUCAUGAUGCACCCAAAACUUGGUCUUUAAUUCAUGAAGCUCACCAUGUCCAGAAUAUUGCUCCAAUCCUUAGUUAAGUCAGACCCACCAUUUGCACGAAUUAGAUUCCUGAUUGGGUCCCUCACCGUAUCCGAAAUAUUAAGCACAACCCAUCCUCUAAUCUGUAGCAUCAAUGCCUAAUGGACAUGGUUGCAUCUUCCAGGUGCAACUGAGCCACUGAACCAGCCGAGAACAAUCAACCCCGAGAAGGGCCCGCACAUCCACAAUGGUGGAAGACCUUAGACUUAAUAUUUUCUUA